RNAcentral lists this ribosomal RNA (494 nucleotides) under uncultured bacterium. RNAcentral's name for it is "partial 16S ribosomal RNA". It matches the Rfam family "Bacterial small subunit ribosomal RNA", at positions 28 to 507 of the family's 1533-position model. The record is from RNAcentral.
GACGAACGCUGGCGGCGUGCUUAACACAUGCAAGUCGAACGGAAAGGCCUGCUUUCCCUUGUGGAUUGCGGGUACUCGAGUGGCGAACGGGUGAGUAACACGUGAGUGAUCUGCCCCCAACUUGGGUAUAAGCCUGGGAAACUGGGUCUAAUUCCCGAUAGGACUGCAGGGUGGUGCCUGUGGUGGAAAACGAUUUUCUAGAGGUUGGGGAUGAGCUCGCGGCCUAUCAGCUUGUUGGUGGGGUAAUGGCCUACCAAGGCGGCGACGGGUAGCCGGCCUGGGAGGGUGGACGGCCACAUUGAGACUGAGAUACGGCCCAGACUCCUACGGGAGGCAGCAGUGGGGAAUAUUGCACAAUGGGCGGAAGCCUGAUGCAGCGACGCCGCGUGGGGGAUGACGGCCUUCGGGUUGUAAACUCCUUUCGACCGCGAGGAAGCCACCUGGUUGGAAGGGUGGUGACGGUAGUGGUAGAAGAAGCACCGGCUAACUACGUG